Non-coding RNA from Pelobates cultripes (western spadefoot toad), 264 nucleotides. The record is from the annotation of a GenBank genome assembly. NCBI's taxonomy places the organism in Eukaryota, Metazoa, Chordata, Amphibia, Anura, Pelobatidae.
GGACAGUUUACUUUUAAAGAAAGAUCGGUGACCAUUUCAAAUGCUACCUUCUGGAGACAGCCAUCUUGACUUGAUUUACAUAGACACACAUCCUUACUGUAAUGAUUAUGGUGCUAGGCAGCUGCUCCUGAAAACUUCCUAGUAUUUCCUUGUUCUUCCUAGUAUUUCCCAGACUAAAACUAAUCUGUUCUUUGAAGCAAUUAGGGGAAUGAUUGCUUCCCCAUUCGCCUGCCAAAGUAACUGUAUGAUACUCAUUGUCUGCAU